Molecule: small nucleolar RNA, 85 nt
Filed under: Spinacia oleracea (spinach)
Lineage: Eukaryota; Viridiplantae; Streptophyta; Magnoliopsida; Caryophyllales; Amaranthaceae
Description: Small nucleolar RNA Z157/R69/R10
Rfam family: Small nucleolar RNA Z157/R69/R10
About the family: Z157, R69 and R10 are members of the C/D class of snoRNA which contain the C (UGAUGA) and D (CUGA) box motifs. Most of the members of the box C/D family function in directing site-specific 2'-O-methylation of substrate RNAs.
Source: Rfam by way of RNAcentral
UUGCAUACAUUGAUGAAGCUUUGUGUGGACUAGAGUUUCUGACCUAAUGGUUGAAGACAAAACCCUUGGCUGUCUGAGUAAACCU